RNAcentral lists this ribosomal RNA (1269 nucleotides) under Paratapes undulatus (undulate venus clam). RNAcentral describes it as "large ribosomal RNA". The stretch from base 847 to 1187 matches the Rfam family "Bacterial large subunit ribosomal RNA", at positions 2074 to 2646 of the family's 2925-position model. Lineage: Eukaryota; Metazoa; Mollusca; Bivalvia; Venerida; Veneridae. The record is from RNAcentral.
GGUAACUUGGUAGUUAAAGAAGUGCUAUAAAGAUUAGAGAGAUUUUUUAAUAAAAGUAUUGGUAAAAAGUUGGUAAAAAUAAGAUGAGAAAAAUGGAAAAAAUAAAAAUGAGAAUUUAUUAACAGAAGUUCUUUUUGUAUCAUGAUUUAUAGAGAUAAUAGAUAUUUUUUUGUUCCCGAAAAUUUUAGAGCUACUACACUUCAGGUGUUUGUUUCAAAAAAUACUAAAAAGGUUUGGUAGAAGUUAUAUGCUAUAUCGAAAAGGUUGAUAGCUGGUUAAAGGGAAAAUAUAUUAAAGUAUAGAGGUAAAAAAAUAAUAAAGUAAUUAUUUUUUACUAUUAAGAUUUAUUAGGUUAAGCUUAUAAAUAGGUGGAGGAAGAGAGAGAAUAAGAUAGGAUUUAUAUUGUCCAUUCAUAAAAAGUUAAUAAUAAAGUAAUCGUGAAAAAAAGUUAGUUUAGUACCCUUUAGUUUAUAUUAACCAAAUAUAAAGUUAUAAGUAUAGGAUUAGUAGUUGGUGGAUGGAAGAAAAAAAGGUGGGUACCACCUAAGGAAAUUUUUAUCGCUAUUUAGUAAAAAGUGAGAAAAAAAGAAUAAGGAGAAUUUCUUUAAAGGAACUCGACAAAUAUGGUCUGUGCCUGUUUAACAAAAACAUCGCUUUUUGAUUUUUUAGUAUAAAAAGUCGGGCCUGCCCGGUGAGCUAUAUUAAACGGCUGCGACGAGAGUCGUACAAAGGUAGCGCGAUAAUUUGUCUCUUAAUUGGAGAAUGGUAUGAAAGGUUUGUCGCAGACUGGUUGUCUCUGAAGAAAUAGAUGAAGUUUCCUUUUAAAUGAAAAGGUUUAAAUUUUUGUAAAAGACGAGAAGACCCUGCCGAGCUGAAUUAAGUUGGAAAUUCUUAGGUACGAAGUACUGAGUUUCUAACUAAAAUGUAGUUGGGGAGAGCUAAGCUUAAAAGAAUAGGUUUAAUUAUUAGACACAGAUCCUCUCAGAGAGAAAGUUGGUAAAAGCUACCGCAGGGAUAACAGCGUAAUUUUUCUUGAGAGAUCGUAUUGAGGGAAAAGUUUGCGACCUCGAUGUUGGAUUAGGAAAACUUCUUGGUGCAGCAGCUAAGAGUGGUAAGACUGUUCGUCUUUUAAAUUCUUACAUGAUCUGAGUUAAGACCGGCGUAAGCUAGGUUGGUUUCUAUCUUUAGUUAUUACUCCUAUUGUACGAAAGGAUCCAGGUGUUAAGUUUUGAAAAACUUUAUUGGUUAAUUAGAUUAACUUAAAAGAAA